This 253-nucleotide ribosomal RNA is filed under the name uncultured Eubacteriales bacterium. Its description in RNAcentral is "uncultured Clostridiales bacterium partial 16S ribosomal RNA". It matches the Rfam family "Bacterial small subunit ribosomal RNA", at positions 524 to 776 of the family's 1533-position model. Lineage: Bacteria; Bacillati; Bacillota; Clostridia; Eubacteriales. RNAcentral also lists the same sequence under 1 other name. The record is from RNAcentral.
UACGUAGGGGGCGAGCGUUGUCCGGAAUGAUUGGGCGUAAAGGGCGCGUAGGCGGCCCGGUAAGUCUGGAGUGAAAGUCCUGCUUUUAAGGUGGGAAUUGCUUUGGAUACUGUCGGGCUUGAGUGCAGGAGAGGUAAGUGGAAUUCCCAGUGUAGCGGUGAAAUGCGUAGAGAUUGGGAGGAACACCAGUGGCGAAGGCGACUUACUGGACUGUAACUGACGCUGAGGCGCGAAAGUGUGGGGAGCAAACAGG